CGUCUCAGUUCNGAUUGCAGGCUGCAACUCGCCUGCAUGAAGUCGGAAUUGCUAGUAAUCGCAGAUCAGCAUGCUGCGGUGAAUACGUUCCCGGGCCUUGUACACACCGCCCGUCACACCAUGGGAGUCGGUAACACCCGAAGUCGGUAGCCUAACCGUAAGGAGGGCGCCGCCGAAGGUGGGAUUGAUGACUGGGGUGAAGUCGUAACAAGGUACC
This 217-nucleotide ribosomal RNA is filed under the name uncultured bacterium. RNAcentral's name for it is "partial 16S ribosomal RNA". It matches the Rfam family "Bacterial small subunit ribosomal RNA", at positions 1284 to 1500 of the family's 1533-position model. The record is from RNAcentral.